This 301-nucleotide ribosomal RNA is filed under the name uncultured bacterium. RNAcentral's name for it is "partial 16S ribosomal RNA". It matches the Rfam family "Bacterial small subunit ribosomal RNA", at positions 509 to 809 of the family's 1533-position model. The record is from RNAcentral.
CAGCCGCCACGGUAAUACGUAGGUGGCAAGCGUUGUCCGGAUUUACUGGGCGUAAAGCGAGCGCAGGCGGUCAAUUAAGUCUGAUGUGAAAGCCCCCGGCUCAACCGGGGAGGGUCAUUGGAAACUGGUUGACUUGAGUGCAGAAGAGGAGAGUGGAAUUCCAUGUGUAGCGGUGAAAUGCGUAGAUAUAUGGAGGAACACCAGUGGCGAAGGCGACUCUCUGGUCUGUAACUGACGCUGAGGCUCGAAAGCGUGGGGAGCAAACAGGAUUAGAUACCCCUGUAGUCCCUGUCUCUUAUAU